CUCCUCCAAGUACAAGAACUCCGCUCCAUUGCAAGGUUGGAUGCAGAGAAUUAAGAAAGGGCAGAUUACAGUCGAUGGAGAUGUG
Molecule: long non-coding RNA, 85 nt
Organism: Asparagus officinalis (garden asparagus)
Lineage: Eukaryota; Viridiplantae; Streptophyta; Magnoliopsida; Asparagales; Asparagaceae
Exons: 3
Source: RefSeq, a predicted model, not a curated record